CUACGGGGCGCUCCAGUGAGGAAUAUUGCACAAUGGGGGGAACCCUGAUGCAGCAACGCCGCGUGGAGGAUGACGCAUUUCGGUGUGUAAACUCCUUUUAUAUGUCAAGAAAAUGACGGUAGCAUAUGAAUAAGCACCGGCUAACUCCGUGCCAGCAGCCGCGGUAAUACGGAGGGUGCAAGCGUUACUCGGAAUCACUGGGCGUAAAGGACGCGUAGGCGGGUUGGAAAGUCAGGUGUGAAAUCCUACAGCUUAACUGUAGAACUGCACCUGAAACUUCUAAUCUAGAGUAUGGGAGGGGGAGAUGGAAUUAGUGGUGUAGGGGUAAAAUCCGUAGAUAUCACUAGGAAUACCUAAAGCGAAGGCGAUCUCCUGGAACACUACUGACGCUAAGGCGUGAAAGCGUGGGGAGCAAACAGGAUUAGAUACCCGGGUAGUC
Molecule: ribosomal RNA, 439 nt
Filed under: uncultured bacterium
Lineage: Bacteria
Description: partial 16S ribosomal RNA
Rfam family: Bacterial small subunit ribosomal RNA
Source: RNAcentral